Molecule: ribosomal RNA, 463 nt
Filed under: uncultured bacterium
Lineage: Bacteria
Description: partial 16S ribosomal RNA
Rfam family: Bacterial small subunit ribosomal RNA
Source: RNAcentral
GACGAACGCUGGCGGCGUGCUUAACACAUGCAAGUCGAACGGAAAGGCCUUUUCGGAGGUACUCGAGUGGCGAACGGGUGUGUAACACGUGGGUGAUCUGCACUGCACGCUGGGCUAAGCCUGGGCAACUGGGUAUAAUACCGGAUAGGACCGCACUUCCGCGUAAGCGGUGGAAAGCUUUUUCGGUGUAGGAUAAGGCCCCGGCCUAUUAGCUUGUUGGGGGGGUAAGGGCCCCCCAAGGCGGCGAGGGGUCGCCCGACGGAGAGGUUGGACGGCCACAGUGGGACUGGGAGACGGCCCAGACCCCAACGUGAGGCAGCAGGGGGGAAUAGUGCACAAUGGGCGAAAGCCUGAUGCAGCGACGCCGCGUGGGGGAGGACGGCCUUCGGGUUGUAAUCUCCUUUCGCCAAGGACGAGGCGUUUUGUGGCGGUACCUGGAGAAGAAGCACCGGCUAACUACGUU